Haplochromis burtoni (Burton's mouthbrooder) is the source of this 566-nucleotide long non-coding RNA. RefSeq lists it as uncharacterized. Lineage: Eukaryota; Metazoa; Chordata; Actinopteri; Cichliformes; Cichlidae. The transcript has 2 exons. The record is from RefSeq and is a predicted model, not a curated record.
GGCAGGAUGAAUGUUAUCCCUCGAUCCAACCCACUUUCAGCCUGGCCCAUUAGGGGGCGCUGGUAUAAAUAGCGGCCAUUUGAGUGUCUCUGCAUCGCUUGCCUGUGAUCUCCUUUUUGGUCACCUGACUUCCUCGGUGUGGUAGAGAUCGUUUGUGGGUUACGCCUCUAAAGUCUCCAUCGCGGCUGGUCGUAGCUAUAGAAGCCUCCUCUGAGCUAUUCGGCUUACAUUCUAUGACACGGCUUACUUGGAAGUGUGGGCCUUAGUUUUGCGCCAAGCUACGUGAACUGAAGUGCUGCUGUUUUGCCUUGCUGUGCUUUUAUCGUCGGUUCCCGUUGUGAGAUUUCUUUCCCUGCUGCUGUCAGCUUUUACAGAGGACGUCGGCGUGGACAACGGCCAUAUGCAUGCCGGUUAUCGGAGUCAGCUGGCGUGCAUAUUGAUUGACUGUCAACUUGUCGUUGUGUGACGGCAAGUUGGAGCAGUGCGGAGUGCCGACGUGGAGGAGACUAGGGUGCCUUGGUGGUGGGAUCCCUUGAGUGUACACACCUGCCUUGUUUAGUUUAUUA